Molecule: ribosomal RNA, 258 nt
Filed under: uncultured bacterium
Lineage: Bacteria
Description: partial 16S ribosomal RNA
Rfam family: Bacterial small subunit ribosomal RNA
Source: RNAcentral
UGGCGGACGGGUGAGUAACGCGUGGUAACCUGCCUUAUACAGGGGGAUAACAGUCAGAAAUGACUGCUAAUACCGCAUAAGACCACAGCACCGCAUGGUGCAGGGGUAAAAACUCCGGUGGUACAGGAUGGACCCGCGUCUGAUUAGCUGGUUGGUGAGGUAACGGCUCACCAAGGCGACGAUCAGUAGCCGGCUUGAGAGAGUGAACGGCCACAUUGGGACUGAGACACGGCCCAAACUCCUACGGGAGGCAGCAUG